GCUAGGAUAGUUUAACCAAACAUUAGGCCGUGACCCUAAAAAUAGAGCACCUCUUCCUAGCC
Molecule: transfer RNA, 62 nt
Filed under: Diploderma vela
Lineage: Eukaryota; Metazoa; Chordata; Lepidosauria; Squamata; Agamidae
Description: tRNA-His
Source: RNAcentral